AAUCCAUAGGUUAAUGAGGCGAACCGGGGGAACUGAAACAUCUAAGUACCCCGAGGAAAAGAAAUCAACCGAGAUUCCCCCAGUAGCGGCGAGCGAACGGGGAGGAGCCCAGAGCCUGAAUCAGCAUGUGUGUUAGUGGAAGCGUCUGGAAAGGCGCGCGAUACAGGGUGACAGCCCCGUACACAAAAGCGCAUGUGCUGUGAGCUCGAUGAGUAGGGCGGGACACGUGGUAUCCUGUCUGAAUAUGGGGGGACCAUCCUCCAAGGCUAAAUACUCCUGACUGACCGAUAGUGAACCAGUACCGUGAGGGAAAGGCGAAAAGAACCCCGGCGAGGGGAGUGAAAAAGAACCUGAAACCGUGUACGUACAAGCAGUGGGAGCACCCUUCGGGGUGUGACUGCGUACCUUUUGUAUAAUGGGUCAGCGACUUAUAUUCUGUAGCAAGGUUAACCGUAUAGGGGAGCCGUAGGGAAACCGAGUCUUAACCGGGCGUUAAGUUGCAGGGUAUAGACCCGAAACCCGGUGAUCUAGCCAUGGGCAGGUUGAAGGUUGGGUAACACUAACUGGAGGACCGAACCGACUAAUGUUGAAAAAUUAGCGGAUGACCUGUGGCUGGGGGUGAAAGGCCAAUCAAACCGGGAGAUAGCUGGUUCUCCCCGAAAGCUAUUUAGGUAGCGCCUCGUGAAUUCAUCUCCGGGGGUAGAGCACUGUUUCGGCUAGGGGGCCAUCCCGGCUUACCAACCCGAUGCAAACUGCGAAUACCGGAGAAUGUUAUCACGGGAGACACACGGCGGGUGCUAACGUCCGUCGUGAAGAGGGAAACAACCCAGACCGCCAGCUAAGGUCCCAAAGUCAUGGUUAAGUGGGAAACGAUGUGGGAAGGCCCAGACAGCCAGGAUGUUGGCUUAGAAGCAGCCAUCAUUUAAAGAAAGCGUAAUAGCUCACUGGUCGAGUCGGCCUGCGCGGAAGAUGUAACGGGGCUAAACCAUGCACCGAAGCUGCGGCAGCGACACUGUGUGUUGUUGGGUAGGGGAGCGUUCUGUAAGCCUGUGAAGGUGGCCUGUGAGGGUUGCUGGAGGUAUCAGAAGUGCGAAUGCUGACAUAAGUAACGAUAAAGCGGGUGAAAAGCCCGCUCGCCGGAAGACCAAGGGUUCCUGUCCAACGUUAAUCGGGGCAGGGUGAGUCGACCCCUAAGGCGAGGCCGAAAGGCGUAGUCGAUGGGAAACGGGUUAAUAUUCCCGUACUUGGUGUUACUGCGAAGGGGGGACGGAGAAGGCUAUGUUGGCCGGGCGACGGUUGUCCCGGUUUAAGCGUGUAGGUGUGUGUUCCAGGUAAAUCCGGUUCACUUUAACACUGAGGCGUGACGACGAGGCACUACGGUGCUGAAGCAACAAAUGCCCUGCUUCCAGGAAAAGCCUCUAAGCAUCAGGUAACAUCAAAUCGUACCCCAAACCGACACAGGUGGUCAGGUAGAGAAUACCAAGGCGCUUGAGAGAACUCGGGUGAAGGAACUAGGCAAAAUGGUGCCGUAACUUCGGGAGAAGGCACGCUGACACGUAGGUGAAGUGAUUUACUCAUGGAGCUGAAGUCAGUCGAAGAUACCAGCUGGCUGCAACUGUUUAUUAAAAACACAGCACUGUGCAAACACGAAAGUGGACGUAUACGGUGUGACGCCUGCCCGGUGCCGGAAGGUUAAUUGAUGGGGUCAGCGCAAGCGAAGCUCCUGAUCGAAGCCCCGGUAAACGGCGGCCGUAACUAUAACGGUCCUAAGGUAGCGAAAUUCCUUGUCGGGUAAGUUCCGACCUGCACGAAUGGCGUAAUGAUGGCCAGGCUGUCUCCACCCGAGACUCAGUGAAAUUGAACUCGCUGUGAAGAUGCAGUGUACCCGCGGCAAGACGGAAAGACCCCGUGAACCUUUACUAUAGCUUGACACUGAACAUUGAGCCUUGAUGUGUAGGAUAGGUGGGAGGCUUUGAAGUGUGGACGCCAGUCUGCAUGGAGCCGACCUUGAAAUACCACCCUUUAAUGUUUGAUGUUCUAACGUGGACCCGUAAUCCGGGUUGCGGACAGUGUCUGGUGGGUAGUUUGACUGGGGCGGUCUCCUCCUAAAGAGUAACGGAGGAGCACGAAGGUUGGCUAAUCCUGGUCGGACAUCAGGAGGUUAGUGCAAUGGCAUAAGCCAGCUUGACUGCGAGCGUGACGGCGCGAGCAGGUGCGAAAGCAGGUCAUAGUGAUCCGGUGGUUCUGAAUGGAAGGGCCAUCGCUCAACGGAUAAAAGGUACUCCGGGGAUAACAGGCUGAUACCGCCCAAGAGUUCAUAUCGACGGCGGUGUUUGGCACCUCGAUGUCGGCUCAUCACAUCCUGGGGCUGAAGUAGGUCCCAAGGGUAUGGCUGUUCGCCAUUUAAAGUGGUACGCGAGCUGGGUUUAGAACGUCGUGAGACAGUUCGGUCCCUAUCUGCCGUGGGCGCUGGAGAACUGAGGGGGGCUGCUCCUAGUACGAGAGGACCGGAGUGGACGCAUCACUGGUGUUCGGGUUGUCAUGCCAAUGGCACUGCCCGGUAGCUAAAUGCGGAAGAGAUAAGUGCUGAAAGCAUCUAAGCACGAAACUUGCCCCGAGA
RNAcentral lists this ribosomal RNA (2620 nucleotides) under Salmonella enterica subsp. enterica serovar Virchow. RNAcentral's name for it is "partial 23S ribosomal RNA". It matches the Rfam family "Bacterial large subunit ribosomal RNA". Lineage: Bacteria; Pseudomonadati; Pseudomonadota; Gammaproteobacteria; Enterobacterales; Enterobacteriaceae. The record is from RNAcentral.